This 253-nucleotide ribosomal RNA is filed under the name uncultured bacterium. RNAcentral describes it as "partial 16S ribosomal RNA". It matches the Rfam family "Bacterial small subunit ribosomal RNA", at positions 524 to 776 of the family's 1533-position model. The record is from RNAcentral.
UACAGAGGGUGCAAGCGUUAAUCGGAAUUACUGGGCGUAAAGCGCGCGUAGGCGGUUAUUUAAGUUGGGUGUGAAAGCCCCGGGCUCAGCCUGGGAAUUGCAUCCGAUACUGAGUAACUAGAGUAUGAGAGAGGGAGGUAGAAUUCCACGUGUAGCGGUGAAAUGCGUAGAUAUGUGGAGGAAUACCGGUGGCGAAGGCGGCCUCCUGGCUUAAUACUGACGCUGAGGUGCGAAAGCGUGGGGAUCAAACAGU